AAUCUUUUUGAAAGGUUAAUUUUAUGAGUCAUUUUGUCUUUUUGGAUUAACAACUAUGCAUCAACUAAAAAUACAAUAUAAUAAACUAAAAAAUAAAGCAAAUACUAAAAAUUAAAAAAGAUAAAAGACGUAAUAAAAGGGAUGGGCAUAUUAUUAGUACAAGAGGUAAAAAAAAUUAAAAAACUAAAGAAAAUGAAAAAGAAAAAACAAUAACAAAUAAAUAAAGUAAUAAUAAGAAAUCAAUAAAUAAAAAAUAUACAAAAGACAAAAAAUAAGCUGAAAAUUAAGGGUGUAGUUAUGAAAAUGCUUUAGGCCCAAGGGAAGGGGGCUCACAGGCGUGUUUUGAGAAAUCCAGGGAUGUGGGGGAGACUUCAUCUUCCCCAACCCCAUAUUUGAUUACUUUUCCCGUAGCAACAAGAAUGGAAGAAAAAAUGUUCCAACAAAAAUGUAAAAAUAUCACAAUUUUCUCAAUUUUUUACGGAAUUAAGCAAAUAAAUAAUGAAAAUUUAUCUACUCGAUCUCACGAACACAA
Molecule: long non-coding RNA, 532 nt
Filed under: Lathyrus oleraceus (garden pea)
Lineage: Eukaryota; Viridiplantae; Streptophyta; Magnoliopsida; Fabales; Fabaceae
Description: Pisum sativum (pea) long non-coding RNA (PSAT_LNC020091)
Source: RNAcentral